This 1182-nucleotide unclassified non-coding RNA is filed under the name Hevea brasiliensis (rubber tree). Lineage: Eukaryota; Viridiplantae; Streptophyta; Magnoliopsida; Malpighiales; Euphorbiaceae. The record is from RNAcentral.
GCUACAUUUCUGUUGUUUACCCAUCUGUGUGCUCUAAAGUUGGUUGCCAAUGGAGUUGGUUGUAGAUUCUGGAGUGAAGAAGAUGGAGGGUGAAGCAAUGAGGAAGAAUCAAACUCUAAUUUGUGCACCAAUUAUGGCUGAUUCAGUGGAUCAAAUGUUGAUUCUUAUGCAAAAGGCUAAAAUUAGUGGGGCUGAUCUUGUGGAGGUUCGAGUGGAUAGCUUGAAAAGCUUUAAUCCUCGCCCAGAUAUUGAUACCCUGAUCAAACAAUGCCCUUUGCCUACUCUCUUCACUUACAGGCCCACUUGGGAAGGUGGUCAGUAUGCUGGUGAUGAAAAGAGUCGAUUGGAUGCACUUCGAUUAGCGAUGGAGUUGGGAGCUGAUUACAUUGAUGUUGAGCUAAAGGCUAUUGGCGAGUUCAACAAUGCCCUACAUGGAAAUAAAUCUGCAAAAUGCAAACUUAUUGUUUCUUCUCACAACUAUGAAAGCACACCGUCAGCUGAGGAUCUUGGCAAUCUAGUAGCAAGAAUACAGGCAUCUGGAGCUGACAUUGUGAAAUUUGCUACAACUGCACAGGAUAUCACUGAUGUUGCACGUGUUUUCCAAAUUACUGUUCAUUCUCAAGUUCCAAUAAUAGCCAUGGUCAUGGGAGAGAAGGGUUUGAUGUCUCGGAUACUUUGUCCAAAAUUUGGUGGAUACCUCACGUUUGGUACUCUUGAAGUGGGAAAAGUUUCAGCUCCUGGGCAACCAACAGUCGAAGAUCUUCUGAAUUUAUACAAUUUCAGACAGUUGGGACCAGAUACCAAAAUAUUUGGCAUUAUUGGGAAGCCAGUUAGCCAUAGCAAAUCACCUUUAUUAUAUAAUGAAUCCUUCAGAUCAGUUGGGUUUAAUGGUGUUUUCAUGCAUUUGCUGGUAGAUGAUAUUGCAAACUUUUUCCGGACUUAUUCAUCAUUAGAUUUUGCUGGAUUCAGCUGUACAAUUCCUCACAAAGAAGCCGCUCUUGACUGCUGUGCUGAAAUUGAUCCUACUGCUAAGGCAAUAGGGGCUGUCAAUUGUAUUAUAAGGCGACCUGAUGGGAAGUUAUUUGGUUGUAAUACAGACUAUAUCGGUGCUAUUUCCGCCAUUGAAGAAGGAUUGCAAGGUUCACAACCUAGUAUAUCUGGGUCACCUUUGGCUGGUAAAUU